AUGCCAGGCUGCACUUGCACGUCGCGGGCCAGUCUCCUCGCCUGCAGGUAAGGGAGCAUCUUCUCGCGGAAUCCGCUUGCAGGGCACUUUAAAGAGCCAGAAUCCCUAGACCUUUUUAGGACGGAGAAGGGAACCGGUUUCCUGGGAAAGUUAAGAACUCAGAAUCCGCAGUUUUGUGUGUUUAUGGAUCUUGUGGGUAGGUAGCUGGGUCAGAAGAGAUGAAUUAAUUGGUCCUAGCGCGACUUGACUGUUUGCUAGCAAUGACUGGGUCUUUCCACUUGAAGCAUCUCCGGAGGUCCCUUCCUCUGUCGAGGUCUAGGAUGCUGGAGCUUAAGAUUUUCAUUCUAUCUGCCCAGAGAACCUAAAGGAUUUUUGGAAGAAAAUGUCCCAAACAGUUCUUAGAUACAGUGACCUAGGCUAUGUUAAAGUUUAGGUUGGGGUUGUCAUAAGAGGUGAAAGUACAAUAUUCUAUCUUUUUUUAAAAAUAAAUUAUUACAGGUGCUUUCCUAUGAAUUACUUAGCCAGUUUUUUUUUAAUUGCUAUAUUCCAUUGUGCUGGGUUAUUAAAGGGCAUCACUCUCCCACUGAGGAAUGCACAGGUUAGUAAUAGUGCCUUACUAGCUCAGUCAUCCACUGACCAUCUGUGUAUGUGACUGUCUGGAAUAUGGCUAGGUAUUUCAUUUAGAUAAACUCUUAUAUGUAUAAGUACUUCAUUAUGUUUGAGUGUCUGAAAGGCCUUUGUGUAGAAAAAAAAAAAACAACAACCUGAGAAUACAUUCCAGAAAGUAUCCGCAGCUGAUGAUGAUAGUGACCAAGCGGUGUUUAAGGAGAACUUUAUACAGGGAAAAUAUUCACCUUUCCCAGCUGAGCAUCAUAGAUAGGAAGACAUGAUAGUGGUUAUAUGCUGCUCUAAGGAGGGAUGGAGAAGGGAUGGAUUUGAGCACAGGGUUCAGGAUCAUUUGAUAGAAUUUGAAAACUGGGUAAAUUUUCACUCUUUUGAGAAAGGAAGUUUGCAUCUGCUUCCCCUCCCCGCCCCAGGCACUCUUCCCCCCCCCAUCCCCCCCCGUGCCCCCCCCCCCCAUGGGAAGAUAAAGAAGUGGCGUUCCAAGAUCUUCAUCUGGACUUCCCCUGGGACAAACCUAUUUCCCCAUCUUGAAUGAGCGUCACUUCUUUACUUUAAACUCUGUUCUGUGAAAGGCUCUCAGCUCUUGUCUGGGAAUUUGUGAAAGGUUACAGUUUCUUGCCGGAGGGAGGGAGAAGGUGACCCUGGACUCUUAGCCCAUGUAAGAGGUGCAGGUUUAGAGGUCAAAGGCCAUGCUGAUUUACAUGGUCCCUGAAUUUCCCCUUUUGAUCUACUGCUCACACCUGCACCCUGAGAGCCAGGGAGGGGAGGAUAUGAUACUGAAGAAGGUGACUAUCAGACCCAACCCAUCACCUUUCAGACUUUAUACUAAGCUUUAAAGCAGACUCAUAAGCAAUAGAUAACUGUUCCAACUGAGUCUGCCAUCAACGUAGGAAAAAUUAGGUACAGUCUUCAGUGGAUAUCAUGUACCUCAUUGUGACUGUCUAGUACUCGGCUUGGCCAUUUCUCCCAGGGCCUCAUUGCAACAGUCACUGUGUCCUCACAGGCCUGGAUGUCAUCCUGCCUCAUCUGCUUGGGCAGAUGAACUGGAGAGAUAUGAUUAAUAAUGAGUCAUUUGAUUUUGCUCUUUUUGUAAAUGUCCUUGGUUUGGUUUGGUUUGUUUAUUUUUUGUUUUGUUGUUGUUGUUUGUUUUUAUUUUCAUGCUCUUGUUGUUGUUUGAGACAGAGUCUCACUAUGUAGCCCAGGCUAGCCUCUUCCCCCAGUCUCUCAGAUGCUGUUGCAUCUGCCCUUUUCUAACAUCAAUGAUUCAUAAUAAUCAGCAAGAAGGCUAUGACCUUAACAGUCAAAAUAAGUAAUCAGGUAAUUAUUGAGAGCUAAAUAUUUAUUUAAACAAAUCAAGUUGCAUUUUUCAAGAAUUGAAUGGGGGGAUCUAAAAAGUAAUGUUUGUGCUGCACAAAGAUGUAGUGGUAUCAGUUGCCAUAGUCUUUCUCCCUAGAUCCGCAGAUCUCCUUAGGGAAAUCUAUAAUUCAAGCCUAAACUUGGACCUGGUACACAACUGGUACUCGCCCAAACAUUGGCCAAGCACACACAUAUUUGUGACUCUGAAAAAAGGGACAACACAUAACAGCAAAGGCGCUCCGUGUUAGGGGCCUGUUAAAUACAAGACUUGGGGAAAUUAUGCCAUAAUCUUACAUUUUAAAAAUGGCUAUUACAUGUGUGAGACAACGGGGGCUGGAGAGAUACCUCAGAGGUACUAGGCACACAUAUGGCAAGCAGAUGUACAAGCAGGCAAAACAUUCUUAAAAAACAAAAACAAAACCCCAAAACAGAUUUCUUUCUAUAUUAUUUAUAUGGGGUUCUGCCUGCGUGUACACCUGAAGGGCAGAGGAGAGCACCAGGUCUCAUAGGUGGUUGGUUGUAAGCUACCAUAUGGUUGCUAGGAAUUAAACUCAGGACUUUGGUAAGAGCAGCCAGUGCUCUUAACCUCUGAGCCAUCCCUCCAGUCCCAGACAAAACACUCUUACACAUAAAAUAAAUCAAUCUUUAAAAGUGUAGAGGAAAAUGGCUGAACAGAAACUAUUGACAGACAUGCUGAGAGUGGUCACCGUUUCUCCAGCUUGGCACUGGUGGUGCUGUAGGCCAUCUCAGUGUCUGUCACCUUGGGGCGGGGCGGGGGGCGGGAGGGGGGGAAGGCGGCAGGGCAGGGUCUUGGCAGCAUCUCGGGCCUCUAUUUCAUCACAUCAGUAACAGCUCUCCUUCGUCCCAAGCAAGCUUUGGCAACCAAAUAAAUAUGUUAGCCAAUAUUACCAAACGGUCCCUAGAGGAGAAUGUGUGUAAUGUGCCUACAUUCGUUUUUAUAACAACACCAACAAUAUCCAACCAUAAAAAUAAACUGAAAUGGUCACUCUACCUCAGUGACAACGUCUGAGCUCCGUUUCAGGGUCCCUCACAAGAAAUUCGAUAGGUGUAAUGAUUUAUUUUUCCUAAUAAGUAAAAUGAUUAUUCACUCAUUUGAAAAUUGGACACACACAC
This 3114-nucleotide long non-coding RNA is filed under the name Mus musculus (house mouse). RNAcentral's name for it is "long non-coding RNA chr19:29367459-29370573". The record is from RNAcentral. Lineage: Eukaryota; Metazoa; Chordata; Mammalia; Rodentia; Muridae.